UUACGAUCCCGUGCAAGGUUAAGCAGAAGAUGCGGAGCCGCAGCGAAAGCGAGUCUGAAUAGGGCGCAUGAGUACGUGGUCGUAGACCCGAAACCAGGUGAUCUACCCAUGUCCAGGGUGAAGUUCAGGUAACACUGAAUGGAGGCCCGAACCCACGCACGUUGAAAAGUGCGGGGAUGAGGUGUGGGUAGGGGUGAAAUGCCAAUCGAACCUGGAGAUAGCUGGUUCUCUCCGAAAUAGCUUUAGGGCUAGCCUCAAGGUAAGAGUCUCGGAGGUAGAGCACUGAUUGGACUAGGGGCCCCUACCGGGUUACCGAAUUCAGUCAAACUCCGAAUGCC
This 338-nucleotide ribosomal RNA is filed under the name Bacillus siamensis. RNAcentral describes it as "bacterial LSU rRNA". It matches the Rfam family "Bacterial large subunit ribosomal RNA", at positions 628 to 964 of the family's 2925-position model. The record is from RNAcentral. Lineage: Bacteria; Bacillati; Bacillota; Bacilli; Caryophanales; Bacillaceae.